Molecule: long non-coding RNA, 1345 nt
Filed under: Fukomys damarensis (Damara mole-rat)
Lineage: Eukaryota; Metazoa; Chordata; Mammalia; Rodentia; Bathyergidae
Description: lncRNA (ENSFDAG00000029884.1)
Source: RNAcentral
AUGAAGAGGCCCCGGGAGGGCAGGCUUGGCUUCAGGGCAAAUCCCACGUUCCUCCACAGAGAGGCCGCGCUAUCCCUGAGGGGCCUGGAGGCCUCACCCGCGGACACCGAGGGACGAAGGUUCUGCUGGACCCUCUGCACCUGGUUUCCAAGUCCCCCCGCCAGGGUCCCUGCUAGGCUGAGGGACUCUGCUCCUGGCCUCUCCUUGCGUGUGGGAUGCGUCACAGCGGAAGUACAGACACCAAGCAAGAUCAGUUCGGGGACAGCUCCAAGAGCCUUCCUGCGGGCACAGCUGCAAGUCAAGAUGAAGCCAGGACCCGAGCAACCCAACCGCAACCUGGGGGCCCCACUGAACGCCCUGAUUUGCUGCUGGAGCCUUGGGGGUGACGGCACCUGCUCCUCGGAGACCAAGAGCCCCAGCCUGCGGAGGGCCUGCUAGGGCAGUGGGAGAGUAGCAGCCAGGGGCGGAGCCUGCAGUGGGCGGGGCGGGCCCGGAGUGGGCGGGGCUGGGCGGGCCAGAGCUUCCCAGGUCGGUUCCCAGAGCCAACCCAGGGUUUCAAGAUGAAGCCAGGACCCGAGCAACCCAACCGCAACCUGGGGGCCCCACUGAACGCCCUGAUUUGCUGCUGGAGCCUUGGGGGUGACGGCACCUGCUCCUCGGAGACCAAGAGCCCCAGCCUGCGGAGGGCCUGCUAGGGCAGUGGGAGAGUAGCAGCCAGGGGCGGAGCCUGCAGUGGGCGGGGCGGGCCCGGAGUGGGCGGGGCUGGGCGGGCCAGAGCUUCCCAGGUCGGUUCCCAGAGCCCAAACCCAGGGUUUAAACACCAGCAUCGACCCUGAGCCCCAGUACGGAGGGCCAACGCCCCACUCCCACUGGUCAGCCUUGGUCAUCCUAAUACUGCCCCAGCCAGAGAGGGAAACCGAGGCCUAGAGCGGGGAAGUGGCCCCCGCGGUCACGCCAAGGCCACAGAGCAGGGACGGCGUCCACCGAGAUCAAACUGUGCGGAUCCGGGCUUCUCCGGGGCACUGACCCGGGCGUCACAGUGGCGCCGGCCGCGGGCUCCUCUGCUUGGUCUCUCACUGACUUCUGUUCAGGGCCAGCUUGACCUCUGUCACGUUCUCAAACUGAAGUCCCUUCCCAUUUCUCCUUACCUUCCAGGAAAAGCUUUUGUCGUGAAAAGAUGUUUUGGUUUUUUGGGACAGGGUCUUGCUAUGUAGCCCAGGCUGACCCUGAGUUUGAGCGAUCCUCCUGCCUCAGCCUCCCAAGUGCUGGGAUGCCAGGCGGUAGAUGCUUGGCUCAGUUUUAACCCCCAGGGUCACAGCAGGGCCCGCGUGGCCGUGACAAGCCU